UACAGAGGGGGCAAGCGUUGUUCGGAAUUACUGGGCGUAAAGGGCGCGUAGGCGGCCUGUUAAGUCGGACGUGAAAUCCCUCGGCUCAACCGGGGAACUGCGUCCGAUACUGGCGGGCUUGAAUUCGGGAGAGGGAUGUGGAAUUCCAGGUGUAGAGGUGAAAUUCGUAGAUAUUCGCAAGAACACCAGUGGCGAAGGCGGCUUACUGGUCCGGUUCUGACGCUGAGGCGCGAAAGCGUGGGGAGCAAACAGG
Molecule: ribosomal RNA, 253 nt
Filed under: uncultured bacterium
Lineage: Bacteria
Description: partial 16S ribosomal RNA
Rfam family: Bacterial small subunit ribosomal RNA
Source: RNAcentral